This 285-nucleotide ribosomal RNA is filed under the name Frigoribacterium sp. RNAcentral describes it as "partial 16S ribosomal RNA". It matches the Rfam family "Bacterial small subunit ribosomal RNA", at positions 217 to 509 of the family's 1533-position model. The record is from RNAcentral. Lineage: Bacteria; Bacillati; Actinomycetota; Actinomycetes; Micrococcales; Microbacteriaceae.
GGUCAAGGAUGGACUCGCGGCCUAUCAGCUAGUUGGUGAGGUAAUGGCUCACCAAGGCGACUACGGGUAGCCGGCCUGAGAGGGUGACCGGCCACACUGGGACUGAGACACGGCCCAGACUCCUACGGGAGGCAGCAGUCGGGAAUAUUGCACAAUGGGCGAAAGCCUGAUGCAGCAACGCCGCGUGAGGGAUGACGGCCUUUCGGGUUGUAAACCUCUUUUAGUAGGGAAGAAGCGAAAGUGACCGGUACUCUGCAGUAAAAAGCACUCGGCUAACUACGUGCC